This 446-nucleotide ribosomal RNA is filed under the name uncultured bacterium. RNAcentral's name for it is "partial 16S ribosomal RNA". It matches the Rfam family "Bacterial small subunit ribosomal RNA", at positions 338 to 795 of the family's 1533-position model. The record is from RNAcentral.
CCUACGGGUGGCAGCAGUCGAGAAUCAUUCACAAUGGGGGAAACCCUGAUGGUGCGACGCCGCGUGGGGGAAUGAAGGUCUUCGGAUUGUAAACCCCUGUCAUGUGGGAGAAAAUUAAAAAGAUAGUACCACAAGAGGAAGAGACGGCUAACUCUGUGCCAGCAGCCGCGGUAAUACAGAGGUCUCAAGCGUUGUUCGGAAUCACUGGGCGUAAAGCGUGCGUAGGCUGUUUCGUAAGUCGUGUGUGAAAGGCGCGGGCUCAACCCGCGGACGGCACAUGAUACUGCGAGACUAGAGUAAGGGAGGGGGAACCGGAAUUCUCGGUGUAGCAGUGAAAUGCGUAGAUAUCGAGAGGAACACUCGUGGCGAAGGCGGGUUCCUGGACAUUAACUGACGCUGAGGCACGAAGGCCAGGGGAGCGAAAGGGAUUAGAUACCCUGGUAGUC